This 485-nucleotide ribosomal RNA is filed under the name bacterium 2311-S1-05-1. Its description in RNAcentral is "bacterial SSU rRNA". It matches the Rfam family "Bacterial small subunit ribosomal RNA", at positions 58 to 514 of the family's 1533-position model. The record is from RNAcentral.
CAAGUCGAGCGCAGGAAGCCGUCUGAACCCUUCGGGGGGACGACGGUGGAAUGAGCGGCGGACGGGUGAGUAACACGUAAAGAACCUGCCCAUAGGUCUGGGAUAACCACGAGAAAUCGGGGCUAAUACCGGAUGUGUCAUCGGACCGCAUGGUCCGCUGAUGAAAGGCGCUCCGGCGUCGCCCAUGGAUGGCUUUGCGGUGCAUUAGCUAGUUGGUGGGGUAACGGCCCACCAAGGCGACGAUGCAUAGCCGACCUGAGAGGGUGAUCGGCCACACUGGGACUGAGACACGGCCCAGACUCCUACGGGAGGCAGCAGUAGGGAAUCUUCCACAAUGGACGAAAGUCUGAUGGAGCAACGCCGCGUGAACGAUGAAGGCUUUCGGGUCGUAAAGUUCUGUUGUAAGGGAAGAACAAGUGCCGCAGGCAAUGGCGGCACCUUGACGGUACCUUGCGAGAAAGCCACGGCUAACUACGUGCCAGCAG